AACAUCGCGCACCUGCGGGAACCUGCGGAGGGAUCAUUAAUGAUUGGUGGCUGUUGCUGACUAGUGUUUCUAGUAUGUGCACGCCACACCUUCAAUCCCACUUAUACCUGUGCACCUUCUGUAAUAGAUCUAUGUGGAUACGGAGAUAUGAAAGUUUGCGCUCUCGUACUCUGUUGAAGCAGUCUACUACGUUUUUUUACACACACACAAUAGUCAUUGAAUGUAUUUUUUAUUCUUAUG
RNAcentral lists this unclassified non-coding RNA (240 nucleotides) under soil metagenome. Its description in RNAcentral is "partial contains 5.8S ribosomal RNA, internal transcribed spacer 2, and large subunit ribosomal RNA". The record is from RNAcentral.